GACGAACGCUGGCGGCGUGCCUAAUACAUGCAAGUUGAGCGCUGAAGGUUGGUACUUGUCCCAACUGGCUGAGCAGCGAACGGGUGAGUAACGCGUGGGGAAUCUGCCUUUGAGCGGGGGACAACAUUUGGAAACGAAUGCUAAUACCGCAUAAAAACUUUAAACACAAGUUUUAAGUUUGAAAGAUGCAAUUGCAUCACUCAAAGAUGAUCCCGCGUUGUAUUAGCUAGUUGGUGAGGUAAAGGCUCACCAAGGCGAUGAUACAUAGCCGACCUGAGAGGGUGAUCGGCCACAUUGGGACUGAGACACGGCCCAAACUCCUACGGGAGGCAGCAGUAGGGAAUCUUCGGCAAUGGACGAAAGUCUGACCGAGCAACGCCGCGUGAGUGAAGAAGGUUUUCGGAUCGUAAAACUCUGUUGGUAGAGAAGAACGUUGGUGAGAGUGGAAAGCUCAUCAAGUGACGGUAACUACCCAGAAGGGGACGGCUAACUACGUG
Molecule: ribosomal RNA, 497 nt
Filed under: uncultured bacterium
Lineage: Bacteria
Description: partial 16S ribosomal RNA
Rfam family: Bacterial small subunit ribosomal RNA
Source: RNAcentral